Molecule: ribosomal RNA, 253 nt
Filed under: uncultured bacterium
Lineage: Bacteria
Description: partial 16S ribosomal RNA
Rfam family: Bacterial small subunit ribosomal RNA
Source: RNAcentral
UACAGAGGGUGCAAGCGUUAUCCGGAUUUAUUGGGUUUAAAGGGUGCGUAGGCGGCUCCUUAAGUCAGCGGUGAAAGCCCGGGGCUCAACCCCGGAACCGCCGUUGAUACUGGGGGGCUUGAGUACAGACGAGGUAGGCGGAAUGGAUCGUGUAGCGGUGAAAUGCAUAGAUACGAUCCAGAACUCCGAUUGCGAAGGCAGCUUACUAGGCUGUAACUGACGCUGAGGCACGAAAGCGUGGGGAGCGAACAGG